Long non-coding RNA from Xenia sp. Carnegie-2017, 836 nucleotides. RefSeq lists it as uncharacterized. Lineage: Eukaryota; Metazoa; Cnidaria; Anthozoa; Malacalcyonacea; Xeniidae. The record is from RefSeq and is a predicted model, not a curated record. The transcript has 3 exons.
GUAGAACGGAUGUUGAAGAUUGGUAUACACGAAGUAAUAGACAUGGAAAUGGAUUGAUGGCAGGUCUGAUGGCAGGCUCGUAAUUCUAAUGGCGGUAUUUCAUGAUGAAAUUGAAAUCGAAGAUUUUGAGUAUGACGAAGAAACUGAAAUAUAUACAUAUCCAUGCCCUUGUGGAGACCAGUUUGAGAUAACUAAGGAACAACUUGAAAAUGGUGAAGAUGUGGCUGUAUGUCCUAGCUGUUCGUUAAUUGUGAGAGUUAUCUACGAUUUAGAUGAUUUUAUGCAAACAGAACAUGUAAAAUGUACGUCAAACAUAUUGGAGAAAAUAUAAUUUCAAUAAAAUCCAAAUGAAAGUUGACGCUGUAACAUCAAAACUUUUAUAUAGUUACUCUUAAACACAUUGUAGACAAAAACAUUGCGCACAUUUUCCUUGCUUCACCAGAGUAAAGUUGAACAUUGAAAAGAAAUAAGAAAUAACAUUCUACAUAAUGUAAAUUACUGACAAAUUUUAACCAUGAGAAACUUACCAUACAAGAUAAUGUGGUGUCAAUUUGGUGGAAAGGACUAGAUGACGAGAAAAUAUGGGCAGAAUUGAUCAGGAUAAAUUAUCACUUCCCUAUGUAGUGUGGAACAUUCUGGUAACCAUCUGCAAACAACAUGAUGUCAGACUUUUAUAAAUAUUUUGAAAAUCAGGGGGGGGGAGUUUAUUACAAUUACAGUCUGCAGUUUGUAUGAUUAGCAGAAUUUAAAAUUGAUGUAAAUAAGUAAUUUGCACAAUAAGUGUUAUGUGUAUUGUUAAAAUGCAUAGAUUAUGAAUAGUAUGAAUAAUUGAUAUA